AGGUCAUUUCAAAGAGGGCUGAUAGGACCGAACAGAUAGGCUCUUGUUGCUGUGACCAAAGAUUGAGUUCUCCAGGGGAUGUAAUAGUCACUCAACAGUGCUAUGUUUUCCUGAUGGAGACAGAAGA
Molecule: small nucleolar RNA, 127 nt
Organism: Hippopotamus amphibius kiboko
Lineage: Eukaryota; Metazoa; Chordata; Mammalia; Artiodactyla; Hippopotamidae
Product: small nucleolar RNA SNORA25
Exons: 1
Source: RefSeq, a predicted model, not a curated record